UCUGCAGGCUGUGCAGGAAAUACGGUGCU
This 29-nucleotide non-coding RNA is filed under the name Homo sapiens (human). Lineage: Eukaryota; Metazoa; Chordata; Mammalia; Primates; Hominidae. The record is from RNAcentral.